This 681-nucleotide ribosomal RNA is filed under the name uncultured bacterium. RNAcentral's name for it is "bacterial SSU rRNA". It matches the Rfam family "Bacterial small subunit ribosomal RNA", at positions 8 to 707 of the family's 1533-position model. The record is from RNAcentral.
AGAGUUUGAUCCUGGCUCAGGACGAACGCUGGCGGCAUGCCUAACACAUGCAAGUCGAACGAGAAAGUUCCUUCGGGAGCAAUUAAAGUGGCGCACGGGUGAGUAACGCGUAGACAAUCUGCCCUUCAGUCUGGGACAACUUUUCGAAAGGAGAGCUAAUACCGGAUAACAAUGCAUGACACAAGUUGUAUAUUUGAAAGCUUUAUGUGCUGAAGGAGGGGUCUGCGUCCCAUUAGCUAGUUGGUAAGGUAAAGGCUUACCAAGGCAACGAUGGGUAGCGGGUUUGAGAGGACGAUCCGCCACACUGGAACUGAGACACGGUCCAGACUCCUACGGGAGGCAGCAGUGGGGAAUAUUGCACAAUGGAGGAAACUCUGAUGCAGCAAUGUCGCGUGAGUGAAGAAGGCCCUUGGGUCGUAAAGCUCUUUUAUGGGGGAAGAUGAUGACGGUACCCCAAGAAUAAGCACCGGCUAACUAUGUGCCAGCAGCCGCGGUAAUACAUAGGGUGCGAGCGUUGUUCGGAAUUACUGGGCGUAAAGGGCGCGCAGGCGGAAUAGUAAGUCGGAGGUGAAAGCCCGGGGCUCAACCCCGGAGGGUCUUUCGAAACUACUAAUCUAGAGAGGGUCAGGGGCCGGCAGAAUUCCUGGUGUAGAGGUGAAAUUCGUAGAUAUCAGGAGGAAU